Molecule: ribosomal RNA, 253 nt
Filed under: uncultured bacterium
Lineage: Bacteria
Description: partial 16S ribosomal RNA
Rfam family: Bacterial small subunit ribosomal RNA
Source: RNAcentral
GACGUAGGGCGCGAGCGUUGUCCGGAUUUAUUGGGCGUAAAGAGCUCGUAGGCGGCCUGUCGCGUCGACCGUGAAAACCCGCAGCUCAACUGCGGGCUUGCGGUCGAUACGGGCAGGCUGGAGUUCGGUAGGGGAGACUGGAAUUCCUGGUGUAGCGGUGAAAUGCGCAGAUAUCAGGAGGAACACCGGUGGCGAAGGCGGGUCUCUGGGCCGAUACUGACGCUGAGGAGCGAAAGCGUGGGGAGCGAACAGG